Pieris napi is the source of this 1403-nucleotide long non-coding RNA. RefSeq lists it as uncharacterized. The transcript is spliced from 3 exons. NCBI's taxonomy places the organism in Eukaryota, Metazoa, Arthropoda, Insecta, Lepidoptera, Pieridae. The record is from RefSeq and is a predicted model, not a curated record.
UGUGCACAAUUAUUAUUGUAAUGUUAGGCUAGCGUCGCCAAUAAAUUAAUAGUUAUUAUUUUGGAUCCGACUUUUAAUUAGUUCCGAUAGCUAGUGAAAAAUAGCCUCUGCUAUUUAGUAGGUGGUUUAGGUACAAGUAAUACUUAACCGCUACUUUAUAUUUAAGUAGUUUGAUUCAGAUACACUUGUAGUAUUUGAGUGUCACUCUCAAUGCCAGAGGGCUCGCGAGUGCGUUACCGGCCUAUUAUAAAUUGGUACGCUAUUUCCUUGAAGAACCCUAAGUCUAAUUGGUUCGGUAAUAGGUACUUCAAUGUGCAACUGGUCCCAAAUAGUGGCAGAGCGUGUCAAAAACUUAAAGUCUUAGAUAACGCUCAGUUGUAAAUCAGAGUCGAAUUUCGUAUUUUAAUUCUCUUCGAAUUAUUGCGAAACUGAACGUCAUUCGGUAUUUCAACGCCCAGUAUGCCGAUGCUGGCUGCGGCUCUAAGAAGAGUGCUUUAGAAAUAAGGAGUAGUGAUCGACUACAUCGGAAUUCGGAGUAGGUACUAAGUAGUGAUUGCGUCUUUAUUAAAUGAACAUUGUGCAACAACCCGUUCUGCCUCCUGGUGUUGGGACCGAAUUCUGAAACCAAGACCAGCCUUGUGAUUUUGUAACCUACUUUUCAGUCUCAUCGCGGAUUCCGCUCUCCAAUCACUUCUUCACGAUUUGUCAUUCUGAUGAACGCGACAAAAGCGCCGCCCGUGUGAGAUUGUUAUUUUUAGAAUAAAAAUUCGACACCCAUAUCGCUCACGCCCAGAAAUAAAGGCCCAUUUCCAAUUUAAACCACUAUUUCAAGAAAUGAACGAUGAGCCUAAAGCCACCUAAAAAAUAUAUAAAGAUGGCAAUGAGGCACGAUACAGCCAUUUGGUUGUACAUCCCCUUUUUUCGAAUGCUCAAGAAAUUAAUCGGUAUUGACGAAACCUUGAAUGUUUGCUGCUAUAUACUAAUCUCUAAUAGAUUAACGAACUAAGUUCGACCGCAGAUCAUAAGGUCGUAGCUCUAAGCUGCGGUUAGGUAAGGAAUAUAACCAAAUCAUACGAAGCUGACAGUAAUUGGACCCGAUGGAUCCUGAUAGAUAUGCCUGAUUCAGUCUAAAUACCUGAAAUAAAGCUCGUUCAAGACACCAUGCUACUUAGUUAUAAUUAAAAUAAGCCUGGUCUGUGUACGUUUAAACCAACUGUGAAUAAUAAAUAAAUACACUCUGAUAAAAGGUAACAUUAUUAUUAAAACGAACUUUCGUUUAGUUUCUUCGUAAAAUUGUCAAGCUUUUGCAGAGCUUCUCAUGCCUAGUAUGGUUAAUCAGUGCUCGCAGCCAGUCUCCCUAACACUUCCACGCUUAAUUUUCAAUUAUCAUUAUUUCUAUGUAG